GACGAACGCUGGCGGCGUGCCUAACACAUGCAAGUCGAACGGGGUAAGCUCUUCGGAACUUACUUAGUGGCGAACGGGUGAGUAACGCGUGAGAAACCUGCCUUUCAGUGGGGGACAACAGUUGGAAACGACUGCUAAUACGAGAUAAUAUGUAAUGAUCGCAUGGUCAAUACAUCAAAGCUCCGGCGGUACAGGAUGGACCCGCGUCUGAUUAGCUAGUUGGUGGGGUAAUGGCUCACCAAGGCGACGAUCAGUAGCCGACCUGAGAGGGUGAUCGGCCACAUUGGAACUGAGACACGGUCCAAACUCCUACGGGAGGCAGCAGGUGGGGAAUAUUGGGCAAUGGGGGAAACCCUGACCCAGCAACGCCGCGUGAAGGAAGAAGGCCUUCGGGUUGUAAACUUCUUUUAGUAGGGACGAAGAACGUGACGGUACCUACAGAAAAGCAACGGCUAACUACGUG
This 463-nucleotide ribosomal RNA is filed under the name uncultured bacterium. RNAcentral describes it as "bacterial SSU rRNA". It matches the Rfam family "Bacterial small subunit ribosomal RNA", at positions 28 to 507 of the family's 1533-position model. The record is from RNAcentral.